AGGCUUGUAGCUUAGAGGUUUUAAAGCAAUCGACUCAUAAUCGAUAGAUCGUCGGUUCGAAUCCGACCAGGCCUACCA
RNAcentral lists this transfer RNA (78 nucleotides) under Candidatus Gastranaerophilales bacterium HUM_18. RNAcentral describes it as "tRNA-Met". It matches the Rfam family "tRNA". Rfam says of the family: Transfer RNA (tRNA) molecules are approximately 80 nucleotides in length. Their secondary structure includes four short double-helical elements and three loops (D, anti-codon, and T loops). The record is from RNAcentral. Lineage: Bacteria; Bacillati; Candidatus Melainabacteria; Candidatus Gastranaerophilales.